This 392-nucleotide ribosomal RNA is filed under the name uncultured Pseudomonadota bacterium. RNAcentral describes it as "bacterial SSU rRNA". It matches the Rfam family "Bacterial small subunit ribosomal RNA", at positions 668 to 1060 of the family's 1533-position model. Lineage: Bacteria; Pseudomonadati; Pseudomonadota. The record is from RNAcentral.
UUCGCGUGUAGCAGUGAAAUGCGUAGAGAUGUGGAGGAAUACCGAUGGCGAAGGCAGCCCCCUGGGCCAAUACUGACGCUCAUGCACGAAAGCGUGGGGAGCAAACAGGAUUAGAUACCCUGGUAGUCCACGCCCUAAACGAUGUCAACUAGUUGUCGGGUCUUCAUUGACUUGGUAACGUAGCUAACGCGUGAAGUUGACCGCCUGGGGAGUACGGUCGCAAGAUUAAAACUCAAAGGAAUUGACGGGGACCCGCACAAGCGGUGGAUGGUGUGGAUUAAUUCGAUGCAACGCGAAAAACCUUACCUACCCUUGACAUGUCUGGAAUCCUGUAGAGAUGCGAGAGUGCCUUCGGGAAUCAGAACACAGGUGCUGCAUGGCUGUCGUCAGCU